CUCGUAGGCGGUUGGGUAAGUCGGGUGUGAAAACUCCAGGCUCAACUUGGAGACGCCACCCGAUACUGCUCUGACUUGAGUUCGGUAGGGGAGUGGGGAAUUCCUGGUGUAGCGGUGAAAUGCGCAGAUAUCAGGAGGAACACCGGUGGCGAAGGCGCCACUCUGGGCCGAAACUGACGCUGAGGAGCGAAAGCGUGGGUAGCAAACAGGAUUAGAUACCCUGGUAGUCCACGCCGUAAACGUUGGGCACUAGGUGUGGGCCCUAACCAACGGGGUCCGUGCCGUAGCUAACGCAUUAAGUGCCCCGCCUGGGGAGUACGGCCGCAAGGUUAAA
This 334-nucleotide ribosomal RNA is filed under the name uncultured cyanobacterium. RNAcentral describes it as "bacterial SSU rRNA". It matches the Rfam family "Bacterial small subunit ribosomal RNA", at positions 568 to 898 of the family's 1533-position model. Lineage: Bacteria; Bacillati; Cyanobacteriota. The record is from RNAcentral.